Daucus carota subsp. sativus is the source of this 3240-nucleotide long non-coding RNA. RefSeq lists it as uncharacterized. The record is from RefSeq and is a predicted model, not a curated record. The transcript has 3 exons. NCBI's taxonomy places the organism in Eukaryota, Viridiplantae, Streptophyta, Magnoliopsida, Apiales, Apiaceae.
AUUAAUUAUCCUAUUAUUAUUGUAUACUACUCUUCGUCUUCUUGUGACUCUCGAUGGCUUCGCAGUCCCAGGAUGAAUCCACUUCCAUACAAGACAUCUUCGACGCUGCCCUCAAUCUUGAAGACACCCACUACAAGUCCGGCUACGACGAGGGGUUCUCCGACGGCUUACUCACCGGAAAAGACGAGGCCCGCUACGUGGGCCUCAAAUCCGGGUUCGAAACCGGCGAGGAACUAGGGUUUUACAGAGGCUGUAUAGAUGUAUGGAACUCAGCAAUUAAGAUUGACCCUUUAUGUUUCUCUACCAGGGUGCAAAAAAGUAUUAAACAGAUGGAUGAGUUAGUGAGUAAGUACCCAUUUAAUGAUCCUGAGAAUGAGUUAGCUACUGAUGUUGUGGAGGGCUUGAGGUUGAAGUUUAAAGCUGUUUGUGCGACGUUGAAUGUGAAGCUGGAGUAUGAUGGGUAUCCGAAGAGCUCGGAUGUGGGUUUUUGAGUGGAGUUUUAGUUGCACUCCAAGUGUUUGAUGAUUAGUCUCACUGAGCUUUGAUUUCGAUGUUACUUGUAAUAAGUAUUGUGGUUGUUAAUGUUUUAGUUUCAAAGGUGGUAUUUUGUUGAAUUAGUAGCCAACGGGUCUAAAAAAUUUCGCAUUUGUGUAUAUGAUUUACUGAAAAUACAUAUCUAUAUAAUCUUGCGGGAUCGUUAUGCAUUGUUUUUUGGGUUUUGUGAUGAUGAGUUCAUAAUUUGUGGGAUCUUUCAAUUUGGAACAGUUUAUGGAUGAUUUUAUGCAGAUGUGAGAAUAGUUAUCCCUGUUUUCAUUAUUUUCAUUUUCAUAGUGUUUCUAGUGAUUUGCUGCAUUUUUAUUUUGUUUAUUGCAGCAUGUCACUUGUUGCCUUAUGUCUUGGUGCUAAUUUACUUACAGUUUACUAGCUUGUUAUCUGCCUCACUUGUUUGUAAAUGCUUAUUCCAUAUUGUUUGCAAUUUCGUAUUGUUUUUAGAGAUUUAUGAUCCGGUUAUCUUUCACUGAAAUUUUCUUUGGCACAUUGUGUUAAUUAGCGAUUCUUUUUACCUUCUAUUAGCUUAAUUUAUUUCACCCUUUGAUGUUUCUUCUUCUUCUUCUUUUUACCUUGUACAUUCACAAUAUUUUUUAAAAUAAAAAAAAAUUCGUUGUAGUAUAAUUUUAAUGUUUCAUUAGUGGCUUAAUAAAGUGUGUAUUUUUUUUCCUUUGCUAGCUUAUUAUCUAUGGCUUUCUUGUUUUACCAAUAUGUAUAUCUAUGCAUCUGGCUUAGAUAAGCUUAUGGAUUACCAUUUUCUCCUCACUUCUAUCACGCAUUAUCCAGUCACCAAAUGUGAUGUGUGUUGGGUUCAGACUAAGAUCAACUCUGGUAAUAUAUUGCUUUAAUAUGUUCACGUUUGUUGAUUUUUUGUAACACUUCCACUAAAAAUUUAUUCUAUUAAAACAAAACCAAUAGGAAAUAUAAGUAGAUUGAAUAUCUAGCACCAAAAAUUCUCGUUUUUCUGUUUCAUGAUAUUUAAAAGCUCAGUCUGAUAUAUCAUAUAUGUAUAUAUGCCUGUGUGUAUCUCUGAGGAAGAAGUCUUUAUUAGGUUUUGUCUAAUCUGCACUAGCUAAUUUCUAUUCUUUACAAUGUCCAUUCAGUCAAUGCAAUUGAUUUCAAGAAAUCUUAGGUUUAGCUAUAGCUUUUCAUUAUCGUCAGUUAACCACUGCUCUUUUUAUUUCAAAAUCGUGUGCAAUUUUAUUCUCUUGAUUUCCAAAUUGUUUUUGGUUCCAGUGUUCUCUCAUUGUAUCCUCAAAUGUGCAGUCUUAAUCUUUUUUAUUUUUCAUUGUAAUAGCCCUUCUACUUUUUCACCUUUCGUUUUCUUCACAUGCUUUUUUUUUAUUCUCUUAGAUUUACUUGUAUUUAAUAAGGUGUGUAUGUUAAAUGUCUUUUUAUUGUUUUUAUUGCACUUUUUCUCUGUAGUAUUGAAAUAAUCAGUGGUUCAAAUCUACCACUAUUUGUCUGAACUUCUGUUUGUGUUUGCUAAUGUUUGAUCUUAUUUGGGUUCAUUGUUUUUUUAAUAAAUACCCGUAAGCUUCUACUUCACCAUAUAUGAGGAUUUUACUAGGUUUAUAUAUUCUGUAUACUAAUAAGUUUCUGUUAUUAAUACCAAACGGUUUCUUUGAUUGGUGUUCUAUAGCUCUUAAUGAAUUUUAGGAGUUCAUCCUCCGUGGUGGUUCUUUAACAUUUUUUAAUAUUAAUAUUCUGGUUUACAAUCUUCACUGAUAUUUAUUUUCAUGAUUUAAUAUCUAUGUCUUUCAUUAACUGAAUUUUCAUUAUAGAUUUUUCCCAUUUUAAGUUGUUUAUAAAGAAUUGGCAGAUCCAUUUGUUGAGUUAGUACAACUGAACUUGAUAGUGAUUUGUGAGCUGGCAUAUAUACCUCAUGUUGCAAUCUACUGAAGCCAAUGUUUCAUCAAAUUGAUUACAAGUGUGGACAUUUCUCCUACUUUCAUGAAUGUUAAUAGAACAGACAUCCCAGACACACUCUGCAUCCUUGUUCUUUUUUUCAGUUUUGCAGGUUAGUACCCAUUCCGCAAUUUCUGUAGAUCAUGAUACCUCAGUCCGUUCUUAGUGGUGCACAUUGAGACUUAUUGUCCUGUGCUGUAGUUUCAGUUACUAUUUGAUCACCCAAGUUUCUUGGAUCACAUGAUCUGACUGGAUCCUGUAAAAAGGACAAUCCAGGACUGUUCUUUGGCCAGCCAGAUAAUUAAAUUUCCUAUCGAAGACUCGAACUUUACUUGAUUAUGAUUAUUUUCAUCUUCCAUUCUGAAGAUGGUCACUUGGAUCACCAGUAUGUCUCACUUGGAAGCCGGAUACAAGUUCGAUGUAACGUAGAUUGAACAAUUAUCUGAGUUCAUGUAGUAGUGAAACUAAUUUUACUAAUUUAGUGACUAGUACAGAGUACAGCAGCUGAGGCUGAGUGAUUAUGUUACACUGAUUCAGUUAAUCCAGUAUCUGUCAACACUUUCCAACCGUGGACUGAAAAAAUACAAAAAAGAGAAGAAAAGAAAGAGAGAUCCUGAAUUAGUUGGGUGUCUGAACCUGAUUAGUUUGUUGCAUAUGGGUGAUGUUCUUUGUAAUAAUAUAUUCAGUUGCCUUACUUUUCUCCCAGAUGAGGUAUGAUUGGAUUAGUGGGCCAGGAAAGGGGUCUCUUUUGGGCUUGGCCCCAUCACAUGGCUAUACUGUACU